RNAcentral lists this ribosomal RNA (160 nucleotides) under Pochonia sp. RNAcentral describes it as "partial large subunit ribosomal RNA". It matches the Rfam family "Eukaryotic large subunit ribosomal RNA", at positions 99 to 261 of the family's 3401-position model. Lineage: Eukaryota; Fungi; Ascomycota; Sordariomycetes; Hypocreales; Clavicipitaceae. The record is from RNAcentral.
CGGCAACAGCUCAAAUUUGAAAUCUGGCCCCUAGGGUCCGAGUUGUAAUUUGCAGAGGAUGCUUUUGACAAGGUGCCUUCCGAGUUCCCUGGAACGGGACGCCAUAGAGGGUGAGAGCCCCGUACGGUUGGAUGCCUAGCCUCUGUGAAACUCCUUCGAC